This 320-nucleotide ribosomal RNA is filed under the name uncultured eukaryote. RNAcentral's name for it is "partial 18S ribosomal RNA". It matches the Rfam family "Eukaryotic small subunit ribosomal RNA", at positions 1470 to 1796 of the family's 1831-position model. The record is from RNAcentral.
CCCUUAGAUGUUCUGGGCCGCACGCGCGCUACACUGAACAGUUCAACAAGUCUUAACCUUGGCCGAUAGGUCUGGGUAAUCUUUGAACGCUGUUCGUGAUUGGGAUAGACCUUUGCAAUUAUGGGUCUUCAACGAGGAAUUCCUAGUAAACGCAAGUCAUCAGCUUGCAUUGAUUACGUCCCUGCCCUUUGUACACACCGCCCGUCGCACCCACCGAUUGAAUGGUCCGGUGAAAUCUCGGGACGGCGGCUUGGUCGCUUGCGUCCGACUGCUGAAACUUGAUUAAACCAUAUCAUUUAGAGGAAGGUGAAGUCGUAACA